AAUCCAGACUCCUACGGGAGGCAGCAGUGGGGGAUAUUGCACAAGGGGGGAAACCCUGAUGCAGCGACGCCGCGUGGGUGAAGAAGCGCCCCGGCGCGUAAAGCCCUUUCAGCAGGGAAGAAAAUGACGGUACCUGAAGAAGAAGCCCCGGCUGACUACGUGCCAGCAGCCGCGGUAAUACGUAGGGGGCAAGCGUUAUCCGGAUUUACUGGGUGUAAAGGGGGCGCAGACGGCGAUGCAAGCCAGGAGUGAAAGCCCGGGGCCCAACCCCGGGACUGCUCUGGAAACUGUACGGCUGGAGUGCAGGAGAGGUAAGUGGAAUUCCUAGUGUAGCGGUGAAAUGCGUAGAUAUUAGGAGGAACACCAGUGGCGAAGGCGGCUUACUGGACUGUAACUGACGUUGAGGCUCGAAAGCGUGGGGAGCAAACAGGAUUAGUUACCCGUGUA
Molecule: ribosomal RNA, 447 nt
Filed under: uncultured bacterium
Lineage: Bacteria
Description: bacterial SSU rRNA
Rfam family: Bacterial small subunit ribosomal RNA
Source: RNAcentral